RNAcentral lists this ribosomal RNA (251 nucleotides) under uncultured bacterium. Its description in RNAcentral is "partial 16S ribosomal RNA". It matches the Rfam family "Bacterial small subunit ribosomal RNA", at positions 524 to 776 of the family's 1533-position model. The record is from RNAcentral.
GACGGGGGGGGCAAGUGUUCUUCGGAAUGACUGGGCGUAAAGGGCACGUAGGCGGGGAAUCGGGUUGAAAGUGAAAGUCGCCAAAAACUGGCGGAAUGCUCUCGAAACCAAUUCACUUGGGUGAGACAGAGGAGAGUGGAAUUUCGUGUGUAGGGGUGAAAUCCGCAAAUCUACGAAGGAAGGCCAAAAGCGAAGGCAGCUCUCUGGGUCCCUACCGACGCUGGGGUGCGAAAGCAUGGGGAGCGAACAGG